Molecule: ribosomal RNA, 252 nt
Filed under: uncultured bacterium
Lineage: Bacteria
Description: partial 16S ribosomal RNA
Rfam family: Bacterial small subunit ribosomal RNA
Source: RNAcentral
UACGGAGGGUCCAAGCGUUAUCCGGAUUUAUUGGGUUUAAAGGGUGCGCAGGCGGAACUUUAAGUCAGUGGUGAAAUCUUGCCGCUUAACGGUAAAUUGCCAUUGAUACUGAAGUUCUUGAAUAUGGUUGAGGUAGGCGGAAUGUGUUGUGUAGCGGUGAAAUGCAUAGAUAUGACACAGAACGCCAAUUGCGAAGGCAGCUUACUAAGCCAUGAUUGACGCUGAGGCACGAAAGCGUGGGGAGCGAACAGG